UACGUAGGUGGCGAGCGUUGUCCGGAUUUACUGGGCGUAAAGAGCGCGCAGGCGGCUGGUCAAGUCCGAUGUGAAAGCUCCCGGCUUAACUGGGAAAUUGCAUCGGAAACUGAUCGGCUGGAAGGUGGGAGAGGGUAGCGGAAUUCCCGGUGUAGUGGUGAAAUGCGUAGAUAUCAGGAAGAACACCCGUGGCGAAGGCGGCUCUCUGGGACGGUACUGACGCUGAGACGCGAAAGCGUGGGGAGCGAACAGG
Molecule: ribosomal RNA, 253 nt
Filed under: uncultured bacterium
Lineage: Bacteria
Description: partial 16S ribosomal RNA
Rfam family: Bacterial small subunit ribosomal RNA
Source: RNAcentral